AGCGUAGGCGGGACGGCAAGUCAGAUGUGAAAACCACGGGCUCAACCUGUGGACUGCAUUUGAAACUGUUGUUCUUGAGUGAAGUAGAGGUAAGCGGAAUUCCUGGUGUAGCGGUGAAAUGCGUAGAUAUCAGGAGGAACACCGGUGGCGAAGGCGGCUUACUGGGCUUUAACUGACGCUGAGGCUCGAAAGCGUGGGUAGCAAACAGGAUUAGAUACCCUCGUA
RNAcentral lists this ribosomal RNA (225 nucleotides) under uncultured Ruminococcus sp. RNAcentral describes it as "partial 16S ribosomal RNA". It matches the Rfam family "Bacterial small subunit ribosomal RNA", at positions 568 to 792 of the family's 1533-position model. The record is from RNAcentral. Lineage: Bacteria; Bacillati; Bacillota; Clostridia; Eubacteriales; Oscillospiraceae.